ACGAACGCUGGCGGCGUGCUUAAUACAUGCAAGUUGUGCGAGAAAGUAUCCUUCGGGAUGCGAGUACAGCGGCGAACGGGUGAGUAACACGUAAGCAACCUGCCCCUAAAUCCGGGAUAACCCUGCCAACGCGGGGCUAAUACCGGAUGUGGUUGAAAGGUCGCAUGAUUUUUCAAUUAAAGGUGACCUCUUCUUGAAAGUUACUGUUUAGGGAUGGGCUUGCGGACCAUUAGCUUGUUGGUGAGGUAACGGCUCACCAAGGCUGCGAUGGUUAGCCGACCUGAGAGGGUGAUCGGCCACAUUGGGACUGAGAUACGGCCCAGACUCCUACGGGAGGCAGCAGUAGGGAAUUUUGCGCAAUGGACGAAAGUCUGACGCAGCAACGCCGCGUGAGGGAUGAAGGCCUUCGGGUUGUAAACCUCUGUUGAGUGAGAAGAAAAGCAUGCGGGAUAAUACUCCGCGUGUCUGACGGUAUCACUCGAGGAAGCCCCGGCUAACUACGUGCCAGCAGCCGCGGUAAUACGUAGGGGGCAAGCGUUGUUCGGAAUUACUGGGUGUAAAGGGAGCGUAGGUGGAAAGGUAAGUUAGGAGUGAAAGAUACGGGCUUAACCCGUAGUCCGCUUUUAAUACUGUCUUUCUUGAGUAUGGGAGAGGAUGACGGAAUUCCUGGUGUAGCGGUGGAAUGCGUAGAUAUCAGGAAGAACACCGGUUGCGAAGGCGGUCAUCUGGCCCAAUACUGACGCUGAGGCUCGAAAGCUGGGGGAGCGAACGGGAUUAGAUACCCUGGUAGUCCCAGCCGUAAACGAUGGACACUAGAUGCUGGAAGAGUCAAUCCUUUCAGUGUCGUAACUAACGCGUUAAGUGUCCCGCCUGGGGAGUACGCUCGCA
This 888-nucleotide ribosomal RNA is filed under the name uncultured organism. RNAcentral describes it as "bacterial SSU rRNA". It matches the Rfam family "Bacterial small subunit ribosomal RNA", at positions 29 to 890 of the family's 1533-position model. The record is from RNAcentral.